AAGGACUGUUUUAUUGUUCGGGUGUGGUGAGUAAGGCUCCCCAGCCAAGCCCAUAGGUGUUGGAAGGAAUUCACCCCACUGGAAUGGACACGGUCCAGUUCUUCGGGAGCACCAUGGGGAAUUUCACAAUGGGGAACCCUGAGCAGCAAGCCGGUGGAGGAGACGCAUUCGGGGGUUAACUCCUUUUAUAUGGAAGAUAUGACGGUACCAUAGGAUAAGCACCGGCUAACUCCGUGCCAGCAGCCGCGGUAAUACGGAGGGUGCAAGCGUUACUCGGAAUCACUGGGCGUAAAGCGCGCGCAGGCGGCUUUGUAAGUUGGAAGUGAAAUCCUAUGGCUCAACCAUAGAACUGCUUCCAAAACUACUAAGCUAGAGUGUGGGAGGGGAAGAUGGAAUUAGUUGUGUAGGGGUAAAAUCCGUAGAGAUAACUAGGAAUACCAAAAGCGAAGGCGAUCUUCUGGAACACUACUGACGCUGAGGCGCGAAAGCAUGGGGAGCAAACAGGAUUAGAUACCCUGGUAGUCCAUGCCCUAAACGAUGAAUGUUAGUCGUUGGCAUGCUCGUCAUUCCAGUGAUGCACUUAACAGAUUAAACAUUCCGCCUGGGGAGUACGGUCGCAAGAUUAAAACUCAAAGGAAUAGACGGGGACCCGCACAAGUGGUGGAGCAUGUGGUUUAAUUCGAAGAUACGCGAAGAACCUUACCUAGCCUUGACAUUGAUUGAAUUCUUUAGAGAUAGAGAAGUGCCCUUUUGGGAACAUGAAAACAGGUGCUGCACGGCUGUCGUCAGCUCGUGUCGUGAGAUGUUGGGUUAAGUCCCGCAACGAGCGCAACCCUCGUGACUAGUUACUAACGGUUCGGCCGAGGACUCUAGUCAGACUGCCUUCGCAAGGAGGAGGAAGGUGAGGACGACGUCAAGUCAUCAUGGCCCUUACGGCUAGGGCGACACACGUGCUACAAUGGAUGGGACAAUGAGAGGCAAUACCGCGAGGUGGAGCAAAUCUAUAAACCCAUUCUCAGUUCGGAUCGUAGUCUGCAACUCGACUACAUGAAGCUGGAAUCACUAGUAAUCGUAGAUCAGCCAUGCUACGGUGAAUACGUUCCCGGGUCUUGUACUCACCGCCCGUCACACCAUGGGAGUUGAUUUCACCCGAAGCGGGGAAGCUAAACUGGCUACCCUCCACGGUGGAAUUAGCGACUGGGGUGAAGUCGUAACAAGGUACC
RNAcentral lists this ribosomal RNA (1223 nucleotides) under uncultured Campylobacterota bacterium. RNAcentral's name for it is "bacterial SSU rRNA". It matches the Rfam family "Bacterial small subunit ribosomal RNA", at positions 224 to 1500 of the family's 1533-position model. The record is from RNAcentral. Lineage: Bacteria; Pseudomonadati; Campylobacterota.